UCAAGGUUGGAACCGUUUAUUGCGCCCCAGGAAGGCGGCGGGCGGACCAAGGCGCCGCGCAACCCAAGCGCGGGGUGGCCAUCGGCGGGCACGGUAGGCAGGCGCCGCCAGGCCAUUGGCGCCGCCGGGCCGGUAACCAUGACGACGGCCGUUGCCAAGGGUGAGAGCCAAUGGAGGCGUCGCCAGGGCCGUUUCAAAAACCUAAAGCAAACAGAACGCAGCAUCGCUGGGGGAGGGGCGGGGAGGGGACAGGGAUCAGGGACCUGGGCCAGGCGGAACCCUACGGAACCGGUACACCAGGGGGAGGGCAGAUAGACGACGGAAAACUCCAAAAUGUCGCCAGACUGUAGGGGCGUCACUUGCGGCCCUUGGGCACCUUGGGCACGCUGGGUUUGGCCGCCUUCUUCACCUUCUUCGUGCUGGCAGCAGCUGCCGCCGCCUUCUUGCUCUUUUGCGCGCGCCGCUCGGGCUGCGGCCUGGCUGGCGUUCUGUCCGCCGCCGCCGCCGCCGCCGUGCGCGCCUUGGGCGCGGGGCUACUGGCCGCCGAAGCUCCGCGCUUCUCCGCGCUGCCCUCCAGCUUCUUGCGGUUCAGCUUGAAGGAUCCGUUGGCGCCGGUGCCCUUCACCUGCAGCAGCGUGUCGUUCUGCACCAGCGCCCGGAUAGAGUACUUGAGGUAGGUGCGCCCGUUCUGCUGGUCGAACCAUGCCACCUUCCUGGCCUCGGCGUAGAUGCGCGCCAGAGACGAGCCACCGCGCUCACCCAGCUUACGGAUCGUCUCCACCACCAGCUGGCUGUACUUGCCUGGCUGGUUCUUUUUGCGGUUCUUCCUUCUCUUGGGCUGCGUGGGCGCCGCAGAGCCGCUGGCCUUGGCCGUCUUGCGGGCCGUCCCGUCGGCGCUCGUCGGCGGCAGGGCCUCCUCAAGCUCCACCGACAUGGUGGCCAGUGGGUUGGUAGCAGGCGGCGCGCGGUAGCCGGGAGGCCGCGCCGGGAAGAGGAAGGCGAGGGGCCGCGGCGGCACCGCCGGUGGACUGGGGGCGCGCGGCGGCUCCAGGCGGGAGCGGCCGC
RNAcentral lists this long non-coding RNA (1065 nucleotides) under Rattus norvegicus (Norway rat). RNAcentral describes it as "long non-coding RNA NONRATT020696". Lineage: Eukaryota; Metazoa; Chordata; Mammalia; Rodentia; Muridae. The record is from RNAcentral.